This 480-nucleotide ribosomal RNA is filed under the name Triticum aestivum (bread wheat). RNAcentral describes it as "partial small subunit ribosomal RNA". The record is from RNAcentral. Lineage: Eukaryota; Viridiplantae; Streptophyta; Magnoliopsida; Poales; Poaceae.
AUGGUAGCGGCAGCAAGAGAGCAUUCACUUCCUCCUUGUCUCAAGAUUCUAAGAAUAUGGUCAUGUGCUGGCAUGUUGGGCGGAGUUCUCCGUCUGCCCACGCCCCUCAUGGAACUGCGCAUUCGAAGCAACAGUGGGUUGACAUCGCUGGAGUUUCUGUGUGGAGAGCACCCCCCAUCGUUGGAAACCCUUUGUCUUGAAAGCUGCAGUACAUUGGCAUCCCUACCUAAUGAGCCACGGGCAGACGGAUCUCUCAAGCAGCUUGUAAUUGGAGGCUGUCCAGCUAUGAAGAAGCUCCCUGGAUGCCUGCAGCAGCAACUGGGCAGCAUUGAUGAUAAAAAGCUAGAUGCCCGUUAUGAAGUGUUUGCACUCAAACCAAAGACAUGGAAAAAAAUACCAAGAAUAGUCCGUAAGUGGAGGCAGGCCGCUCGACAGGCUGCUCAGGAAGCCAUGGAACGCCAGAGAUACAUGCAGGAGUAA